RNAcentral lists this transfer RNA (72 nucleotides) under Armatimonadota bacterium. RNAcentral describes it as "Armatimonadetes bacterium tRNA-Val". It matches the Rfam family "tRNA". From Rfam's summary of the family: Transfer RNA (tRNA) molecules are approximately 80 nucleotides in length. Their secondary structure includes four short double-helical elements and three loops (D, anti-codon, and T loops). Further hydrogen bonds mediate the characteristic L-shaped molecular structure. tRNAs have two regions of fundamental functional importance: the anti-codon, which is responsible for specific mRNA codon recognition, and the 3' end, to which the tRNAs corresponding amino acid is attached (by aminoacyl-tRNA synthetases). tRNAs cope with the degeneracy of the genetic code in two manners: having more than one tRNA (with a specific anti-codon) for a particular amino acid; and 'wobble' base-pairing, i.e. permitting non-standard base-pairing at the 3rd anti-codon position. Lineage: Bacteria; Bacillati; Armatimonadota. The record is from RNAcentral.
GGGCGGUUGGCUCAGCGGUAGAGCGCCUCGUUCACACCGAGGAGGUCACUGGUUCGAAUCCAGUACUGCCCA